Molecule: ribosomal RNA, 253 nt
Filed under: uncultured bacterium
Lineage: Bacteria
Description: partial 16S ribosomal RNA
Rfam family: Bacterial small subunit ribosomal RNA
Source: RNAcentral
UACGGAGGGGGCUAGCGUUGUUCGGAAUUACUGGGCGUAAAGCGCGCGCAGGCGGUUUCUUAAGUCUGAUGUGAAAGCCCACGGCUCAACCGUGGAGGGUCAUUGGAAACUGGGGAACUUGAGUGCAGAAGAGAAAAGCGGAAUUCCACGUGUAGCGGUGAAAUGCGUAGAGAUGUGGAGGAACACCAGUGGCGAAGGCGGCUUUUUGGUCUGUAACUGACGCUGAGGCGCGAAAGCGUGGGGAGCAAACAGG